Molecule: ribosomal RNA, 254 nt
Filed under: uncultured bacterium
Lineage: Bacteria
Description: partial 16S ribosomal RNA
Rfam family: Bacterial small subunit ribosomal RNA
Source: RNAcentral
UACGAAGGGGGCUAGCGUUGUUCGGAAUUACUGGGCGUAAAGCGUGCGCAGGCGGUGAUGUAAGACAGUUGUGAAAUCCCCGGGCUCAACCUGGGAACUGCAUCUGUGACUGCAUCGCUGGAGUGCGGCAGAGGGGGAUGGAAUUCCGCGUGUAGCAGUGAAAUGCGCAGAUAAUCAGGAGGAACACCCGUGGCGAAAGCGGCUCUCUGGGACGGUACUGACGCUGAGACGCGAAAGCGUGGGGAGCAAACAGG